This 497-nucleotide ribosomal RNA is filed under the name uncultured bacterium. Its description in RNAcentral is "bacterial SSU rRNA". It matches the Rfam family "Bacterial small subunit ribosomal RNA", at positions 29 to 526 of the family's 1533-position model. The record is from RNAcentral.
AAUGAACGUUGGCGGCGUGGAUUAGGCAUGCAAGUCGAGGGAGAACCCGCAAGGGGGACACCGGCGAACGGGGUAGGAUCACCUCGGUGACGUACCCUCCGGACGGGGAUAGCGUCGGGAAACUGACGGUAAUACCCGAUGAUCCGGCUGGUUUUUAAGACUGGUCAGCAAAGGUGAGAUUCCACCGGAGGAGCGGCUGAGGCGCUAUUAGCUAGUUGGUGAGGUAACGGCUCACCAAGGCGACGAUGGCUAGGGGGUGUGAGAGCAUGGCCCCCACCACUGGCACUGAGACACUGGCCAGACACCUACGGGUGGCUGCAGUCGAGAAUCUUCGGCAAUGGGCGCAAGCCUGACCGAGCGACGCCGCGUGCGGGAUGAAGGUCUUCGGAUUGUAAACCGCUGUCGGAGGGGAUGAAGUGUAGGAGAGCAAUCUCUCUUAUUUGACAGAGCCUCGGAGGAAGCACGGGCUAAGUUCGUGCCAGCAGCCGCCGUAAAAC